Molecule: ribosomal RNA, 434 nt
Filed under: uncultured Clostridium sp.
Lineage: Bacteria; Bacillati; Bacillota; Clostridia; Eubacteriales; Clostridiaceae
Description: partial 16S ribosomal RNA
Rfam family: Bacterial small subunit ribosomal RNA
Source: RNAcentral
ACGGGAGGCAGCAGUGGGGAAUAUUGCACAAUGGGCGCAAGCCUGAUGCAGCGACGCCGCGUGAGCGAUGAAGUAUUUCGGUAUGUAAAGCUCUAUCAGCAGGGAAGAAAAUGACGGUACCUGACUAAGAAGCCCCGGCUAACUACGUGCCAGCAGCCGCGGUAAUACGUAGGGGGCAAGCGUUAUCCGGAUUUACUGGGUGUAAAGGGAGCGUAGACGGCGAUGCAAGUCUGAAGUGAAAGCCCGGGGCUCAACCCCGGGACUGCUUUGGAAACUGUGUUGCUAGAGUGCGGGAGAGGUAAGCGGAAUUCCUAGUGUAGCGGUGAAAUGCGUAGAUAUUAGGAGGAACACCGGUGGCGAAGGCGGCUUACUGGACUGUAACUGACGUUGAGGCUCGAAAGCGUGGGGAGCAAACAGGAUUAGAUACCCUGGUA